GUGAUUAAAUCGAGCGUGUCUUCACUGACCGCUCACCCUUCUCACCAUCCACAUACACCUGUGCACUGUUUAGCCUGAGCCGGUUUUCCGGUCCAGGUUAUCACUUUCAUACAAACUCUAGUCUUAUGAAUGUAAACGUUUUAAUAACAUAAUA
Molecule: unclassified non-coding RNA, 154 nt
Filed under: soil metagenome
Description: partial internal transcribed spacer 1
Source: RNAcentral